CGCGUAGGCGGCGCUUCAAGUCGCAUGUGAAGGACCAGGGCUCAAACCCCUGGGGGGUCGAUGCGAAACUAGGAGGUGCUUGAGUGCAGUAGAGGUAAGCGGAAUUCCUGGUGUAGCGGUAAAAUAGCGUAGAGAUCAGGAGGAACACCGGUGGCGAAGGCGGCUUACUGGGCUGCAACUGACGCUGAUGCGCGAAAGCGUGGGGAGCAAACA
RNAcentral lists this ribosomal RNA (213 nucleotides) under uncultured bacterium. RNAcentral describes it as "partial 16S ribosomal RNA". It matches the Rfam family "Bacterial small subunit ribosomal RNA", at positions 568 to 774 of the family's 1533-position model. The record is from RNAcentral.